RNAcentral lists this transfer RNA (88 nucleotides) under Phytohabitans flavus. Its description in RNAcentral is "tRNA-Ser". It matches the Rfam family "tRNA". From Rfam's summary of the family: Transfer RNA (tRNA) molecules are approximately 80 nucleotides in length. Their secondary structure includes four short double-helical elements and three loops (D, anti-codon, and T loops). Further hydrogen bonds mediate the characteristic L-shaped molecular structure. tRNAs have two regions of fundamental functional importance: the anti-codon, which is responsible for specific mRNA codon recognition, and the 3' end, to which the tRNAs corresponding amino acid is attached (by aminoacyl-tRNA synthetases). tRNAs cope with the degeneracy of the genetic code in two manners: having more than one tRNA (with a specific anti-codon) for a particular amino acid; and 'wobble' base-pairing, i.e. permitting non-standard base-pairing at the 3rd anti-codon position. The record is from RNAcentral. Lineage: Bacteria; Bacillati; Actinomycetota; Actinomycetes; Micromonosporales; Micromonosporaceae.
GGAGGGUUGGCAGAGAGGUCUAUCGCGCUGCCCUGCUAAGGCAGACCGGGCCCGCCCGGCGUCGGUUCGAAUCCGACACCCUCCUCCA